UUGGUAACAGUAGGUUGUUAGUAGAAUAAAUGGUUACAAAUUCAAAGGGUCAUAAGCUUUGAAAUCCACUGACCGACAGAUCAUCUUUUGGUAGGAUAAAGAGGUUGAAAAAAGGGAGAUCGGGACUAGACUAUGAUAGUCUUAAGCCAAAGGCCAAACUAUGAGAGUCAUAAGCUAAGGGCCAUACUGUGAGAGUUGUAAGCUAAGAGGCAGAUUGUGAUAGUCGUAAGUCGGGGCAAGCUUGGUGCUACUUCUUUUUAUUUCUUUUUUGUUUUUGAAUAAUGGAUAGUUUUUGAAUACUGAGAAGUUAGUCUGGAGUGCCAGACUAUGAGAAUCGUAAGUCGAGAUAUUAAAUUCUGUGUGAUGAAUUGAGAAACUGAAUACAAUAGGUAAGUUGAAGAUUAGUAAUUAAAUAUAUAUAAACCACAAAGAGAGUAAAUGGAAGAUGAAUGGAUAAGAAUAUAGAAGUAUUGUUGAAUUGAUAGUCGUAGAAUGAAUUAUGGAUUGAAUUAAGACAAAAGUAGUAAGCCUUGGUGUUUUGUAGUUUGAUAAUUGAUUUCAGAUAGCUAGAGUACAGUCAAUUGUGACACUAACAGACCCAAUUCAUAUAACUAGUAUUUUUCUAUGUUUGAAUCCGCGUCUAUUAAUUUAAUUGCUUUGAUAUAUUGAAGCUUGAAGACAACAAGAACAAAAUUUUGGUGUUGUUGUCAGAGAAAUGAUAACAAUAUGAAAUAUUAGAAAUUGAUUGUAUGAGAGAUAGAAUUAUAUGUUGAAUGAGAACGUGAAAUGAACCAAUUUUUAGGAUUACAAAUAUGUGGGUUAUAAUUCAAGGCAGUAUUAAUUUUCUAAAGAAGAAUGAAAGAUUAUGAGUGAUAAUCAUAAAAGAGAAGAUUAUCAAAGAAUUAAUUGAUAAGCAAAAGAAAGACAAGAGCGAUUACACAUAAGAAAUCUCAUACGAGAACGACAAAAAAGAAUUAUAGGUCCAAGUAAAACCAACGGAAAAAAAAUUCAAAUUC
RNAcentral lists this long non-coding RNA (1016 nucleotides) under Physcomitrium patens. RNAcentral's name for it is "long non-coding RNA (PPAT_LNC000766)". The record is from RNAcentral. Lineage: Eukaryota; Viridiplantae; Streptophyta; Bryopsida; Funariales; Funariaceae.